Molecule: long non-coding RNA, 234 nt
Filed under: Ananas comosus (pineapple)
Lineage: Eukaryota; Viridiplantae; Streptophyta; Magnoliopsida; Poales; Bromeliaceae
Description: long non-coding RNA (ACOM_LNC039101)
Source: RNAcentral
GGAUAUAUAAAGCCUUUAAGGCUGCAAAGGGAAGGAUAAACAUAGAGAAGAAGAUUGAGAAGCCAAAAUGGCAGCGAAGAUCGACGCUAUCCCAUGAAGGGAGAAAAACUGAAUGGAAACCCAAAACUCUUGCUCAGAUUAAAAAGGAAAAAUCUGAAGUAGAAAAUUUAGAGAUUCAUACAGUAAGAGUUAUUGGGCAUACGUCGUCAAGUGAGCCGGUUGACGAAGCUGAAA